This 484-nucleotide ribosomal RNA is filed under the name uncultured bacterium. RNAcentral's name for it is "partial 16S ribosomal RNA". It matches the Rfam family "Bacterial small subunit ribosomal RNA", at positions 30 to 507 of the family's 1533-position model. The record is from RNAcentral.
AUUGAACGCUGGCGGCAUGCCUUACACAUGCAAGUCGAACGGCAGCGCGGGAGCAAUCCUGGCGGCGAGUGGCGAACGGGUGAGUAAUACAUCGGAACGUGCCCAAUCGUGGGGGAUAACGCAGCGAAAGCUGUGCUAAUACCGCAUACGAUCUACGGAUGAAAGCAGGGGAUCGCAAGACCUUGCGCGAAUGGAGCGGCCGAUGGCAGAUUAGGUAGUUGGUGAGGUAAAGGCUCACCAAGCCUUCGAUCUGUAGCUGGUCUGAGAGGACGACCAGCCACACUGGGACUGAGACACGGCCCAGACUCCUACGGGAGGCAGCAGUGGGGAAUGUUGGACAAUGGGCGAAAGCCUGAUCCAGCCAUGCCGCGUGCAGGAUGAAGGCCUUCGGGUUGUAAACUGCUUUUGUACGGAACGAAACGGUCUUUUCUAAUAAAGAAGGCUAAUGACGGUACCGGAAGAAUAAGCACCGGCUAACUACGUG